GGUUAAGCGACUAAGCGUACACGGUGGAUGCCCUGGCAGUCAGAGGCGAUGAAGGACGUGCUAAUCUGCGAUAAGCGUCGGUAAGGUGAUAUGAACCGUUAUAACCGGCGAUUUCCGAAUGGGGAAACCCAGUGUGUUUCGACACACUAUCAUUAACUGAAUCCAUAGGUUAAUGAGGCGAACCGGGGGAACUGAAACAUCUAAGUACCCCGAGGAAAAGAAAUCAACCGAGAUUCCCCCAGUAGCGGCGAGCGAACGGGGAGCAGCCCAGAGCCUGAAUCAGUGUGUGUGUUAGUGGAAGCGUCUGGAAAGGCGCGCGAUACAGGGUGACAGCCCCGUACACAAAAAUGCACAUGCUGUGAGCUCGAUGAGUAGGGCGGGACACGUGGUAUCCUGUCUGAAUAUGGGGGGACCAUCCUCCAAGGCUAAAUACUCCUGACUGACCGAUAGUGAACCAGUACCGUGAGGGAAAGGCGAAAAGAACCCCGGCGAGGGGAGUGAAAAAGAACCUGAAACCGUGUACGUACAAGCAGUGGGAGCACGCUUAGGCGUGUGACUGCGUACCUUUUGUAUAAUGGGUCAGCGACUUAUAUUCUGUAGCAAGGUUAACCGAAUAGGGGAGCCGAAGGGAAACCGAGUCUUAACUGGGCGUUAAGUUGCAGGGUAUAGACCCGAAACCCGGUGAUCUAGCCAUGGGCAGGUUGAAGGUUGGGUAACACUAACUGGAGGACCGAACCGACUAAUGUUGAAAAAUUAGCGGAUGACUUGUGGCUGGGGGUGAAAGGCCAAUCAAACCGGGAGAUAGCUGGUUCUCCCCGAAAGCUAUUUAGGUAGCGCCUCGUGAAUUCAUCUCCGGGGGUAGAGCACUGUUUCGGCAAGGGGGUCAUCCCGACUUACCAACCCGAUGCAAACUGCGAAUACCGGAGAAUGUUAUCACGGGAGACACACGGCGGGUGCUAACGUCCGUCGUGAAGAGGGAAACAACCCAGACCGCCAGCUAAGGUCCCAAAGUCAUGGUUAAGUGGGAAACGAUGUGGGAAGGCCCAGACAGCCAGGAUGUUGGCUUAGAAGCAGCCAUCAUUUAAAGAAAGCGUAAUAGCUCACUGGUCGAGUCGGCCUGCGCGGAAGAUGUAACGGGGCUAAACCAUGCACCGAAGCUGCGGCAGCGACACUAUGUGUUGUUGGGUAGGGGAGCGUUCUGUAAGCCUGUGAAGGUGUGCUGUGAGGUAUGCUGGAGGUAUCAGAAGUGCGAAUGCUGACAUAAGUAACGAUAAAGCGGGUGAAAAGCCCGCUCGCCGGAAGACCAAGGGUUCCUGUCCAACGUUAAUCGGGGCAGGGUGAGUCGACCCCUAAGGCGAGGCCGAAAGGCGUAGUCGAUGGGAAACAGGUUAAUAUUCCUGUACUUGGUGUUACUGCGAAGGGGGGACGGAGAAGGCUAUGUUGGCCGGGCGACGGUUGUCCCGGUUUAAGCGUGUAGGCUGGUUUUCCAGGCAAAUCCGGAAAAUCAAGGCUGAGGCGUGAUGACGAGGCACUACGGUGCUGAAGCAACAAAUGCCCUGCUUCCAGGAAAAGCCUCUAAGCAUCAGGUAACAUCAAAUCGUACCCCAAACCGACACAGGUGGUCAGGUAGAGAAUACCAAGGCGCUUGAGAGAACUCGGGUGAAGGAACUAGGCAAAAUGGUGCCGUAACUUCGGGAGAAGGCACGCUGAUAUGUAGGUGAAGUCCCUCGCGGAUGGAGCUGAAAUCAGUCGAAGAUACCAGCUGGCUGCAACUGUUUAUUAAAAACACAGCACUGUGCAAACACGAAAGUGGACGUAUACGGUGUGACGCCUGCCCGGUGCCGGAAGGUUAAUUGAUGGGGUUAGCCGCAAGGCGAAGCUCUUGAUCGAAGCCCCGGUAAACGGCGGCCGUAACUAUAACGGUCCUAAGGUAGCGAAAUUCCUUGUCGGGUAAGUUCCGACCUGCACGAAUGGCGUAAUGAUGGCCAGGCUGUCUCCACCCGAGACUCAGUGAAAUUGAACUCGCUGUGAAGAUGCAGUGUACCCGCGGCAAGACGGAAAGACCCCGUGAACCUUUACUAUAGCUUGACACUGAACAUUGAGCCUUGAUGUGUAGGAUAGGUGGGAGGCUUUGAAGUGUGGACGCCAGUCUGCAUGGAGCCGACCUUGAAAUACCACCCUUUAAUGUUUGAUGUUCUAACGUUGACCCGUAAUCCGGGUUGCGGACAGUGUCUGGUGGGUAGUUUGACUGGGGCGGUCUCCUCCUAAAGAGUAACGGAGGAGCACGAAGGUUGGCUAAUCCUGGUCGGACAUCAGGAGGUUAGUGCAAUGGCAUAAGCCAGCUUGACUGCGAGCGUGACGGCGCGAGCAGGUGCGAAAGCAGGUCAUAGUGAUCCGGUGGUUCUGAAUGGAAGGGCCAUCGCUCAACGGAUAAAAGGUACUCCGGGGAUAACAGGCUGAUACCGCCCAAGAGUUCAUAUCGACGGCGGUGUUUGGCACCUCGAUGUCGGCUCAUCACAUCCUGGGGCUGAAGUAGGUCCCAAGGGUAUGGCUGUUCGCCAUUUAAAGUGGUACGCGAGCUGGGUUUAGAACGUCGUGAGACAGUUCGGUCCCUAUCUGCCGUGGGCGCUGGAGAACUGAGGGGGGCUGCUCCUAGUACGAGAGGACCGGAGUGGACGCAUCACUGGUGUUCGGGUUGUCAUGCCAAUGGCACUGCCCGGUAGCUAAAUGCGGAAGAGAUAAGUGCUGAAAGCAUCUAAGCACGAAACUUGCCCCGAGAUGAGUUCUCCCUGACCCUUUAAGGGUCCUGAAGGAACGUUGAAGACGACGACGUUGAUAGGCCGGGUGUGUAAGCGCAGCGAUGCGUUGAGCUAACCGGUACUAAUGAACCGUGAGGCUUAACCUU
Molecule: ribosomal RNA, 2905 nt
Filed under: Escherichia coli
Lineage: Bacteria; Pseudomonadati; Pseudomonadota; Gammaproteobacteria; Enterobacterales; Enterobacteriaceae
Description: 23S ribosomal RNA
Rfam family: Bacterial large subunit ribosomal RNA
Source: RNAcentral